GACGAACGCUGGCGGCGUGCUUAACACAUGCAAGUCGAACGGUGAUGGAGAGCUUGCUCUCCGGAUCAGUGGCGAACGGGUGAGUAACACGUGAGCAAUCUGCCCCUCACUCUGGGAUAACUUCGGGAAACCGAUGCUAAUACCGGAUAUGACGCGCGAAGGCAUCUUCUGCGUGUGGAAAGAAUUUCGGUGGGGGAUGAGCUCGCGGCCUAUCAGCUUGUUGGUGAGGUAAUGGCUCACCAAGGCGACGACGGGUAGCCGGCCUGAGAGGGUGACCGGCCACACUGGGACUGAGAUACGGCCCAGACUCCUACGGGAGCAGCAGUGGGGAAUCUUGCGCAAUGGCCUAACGGCUGACGCAGCGACGCCGCGU
RNAcentral lists this ribosomal RNA (373 nucleotides) under uncultured bacterium. RNAcentral's name for it is "bacterial SSU rRNA". It matches the Rfam family "Bacterial small subunit ribosomal RNA", at positions 28 to 402 of the family's 1533-position model. The record is from RNAcentral.